CCCUAAGAAAGAGGCCAUUAGAAGCAGGAAAAGGCAGAAUCAUAACAAGUCCAAAUGAGGGUGCUUCUGGGAUUUCAUGCACCAGAAGCAUUUGAUUUCCUCCUCAAAUCUUGAAUUGUUCCCAGAACCUUCCAGCUUCUGCCUCUGCUCUGUGAACUCCCUGAAGCAGAUACUACGUUUGUUGGAGCCAUUAUCAGAGGAAAACAAACAGCUUCUGCCUCCAGCUGCCUGCUUCAGUGUAUGCCAGAGACCUUGUGAGAUUUUCUGGGCUCUAAGUGGUGCUCACUGCCUCUCCACACCUGCUGGUCCUCUGCUCCCAAGGCUUGGAAGAAUCUCACCUGUGAUGGCACUGCACCAUAGAGAGGAGAGGGACACAGAUGACCGGGAGUCUUCUGAACGCUGACUUCUGGAGGAAGUGACGCUGUGGACUUGGGUACUCCCUGGCGGGCAGAUGCUGGAGAAGGUUCCCGAGGGUGAGGACAGUUGGGGCUGUGGUGUGGAGCUCACAGUGGGCCUCAUGCAGGCCUCACAGCAGCUCUGUGCAAGUGCAAAGGAAUCCCCUUUUUGGAACUUUGUCACAGUUCCAUGAUGUCACCACCACCUGUCUGGAAUCCCUGUGGGCCAACCCUGCUUAGUGGCGCUGUGGAAGUCCGUGUCUGCUUCUUGGGAAGAAGAUGCGUUCCCACCAUGUGCAAACAAGUGCACACACUGCACCGCCACCGAUGUUCCAAUCGUGAUGGACUUUGAACGGAAAUCAGAACCGCUGCUUCAUUAGAAAGACUCCUCAGGCAGCCGGGAAAGGGGAUGAACUUUGGACCUGCAGUUGGGAAGGCAGAGCAGGACCGGAAUACUUGGCUCAUCUUUUCCUCGCCUGACUCCUGAGACUCAAGGUCAGGAUGCCGAGGAGCCCUCGCUGGCGCUCACUGUGACCUGUCCACCCACCCACCCUCAGUCACGUCAGCCGUUCAUCUGGCUCCUCCUCACUACCCCCCUUCUUCACGUCAUCGCUUCCAAGUUCUUUUCUUGAAAGCAAUUCCUUAUGUGUUCAUUUCUCAAAAGCAUUCCAAGGUCUGAACCGCAAGGGUACAGACUCCAGUCUGCAGGGCAGUUCAUGCUUCCAUUUCAUAGGCCAAACACUUUUGCCAAACUGAGGACGUAAAAGGUGGCACACCCUUGUCAAGCGAGGUCCCGUGAUGUGCCCUUGUGUAAUCGAAAAUCCAGACAUGGAGACCAAAGGGAUGGGAUACUAGGCCUUCUGCCAGGUCCAGGCAAGCGCUUUGGCCAGUGGCUCCUGCUCCUGCUUCUCUGCAUCCUCCCUGGGCUUUGGCUUUUCUCUGGGAAUUCUUCCAACACACCUGUGGUUUCCUUUCUUCCCAGUCUGAUACUUCAGCUGACAUUAUCAGGAACAAAGCUUGGUCCCCACUUUAAAAAUCGGUGUGUAGAACUCUCCUGACUAGAAGGUGCCUGUAAUGUGAAAUUAAGGACAAGACUCCAGCUUUGAAGCAACCAUUAAAGGAAUAAGUAAUGGAAAGUUGCCUUUCACAUCUCACUCAUUUUAGACACAUUCUAAUUAACUCUGCCAGAAAAAAUAAUUGGCCUAGAUCAGGUCGAUCUGAUUGAGGAUUGUAAUAACCUCAGCUGAGUGGUAUUUAUAUUCAGCUUCUGGUCUUGGGUGAAGUUACUAUGUGGCUUGAAUGCUAAUUGUAUGCUAAGUGGGGCCAAGAACAACACUCAAGCACAUCCAUAUGUCUACUUGCUUUUAGCUUCCUUGUGAGGAGGUGCAGAGAAAGGUUUUCAAGAGUUCAUUUUAAGGUGAUGGCCUGAAACAUGUGUUGUUUCCCAGGAGAAAUGAGGUCAGUGUUAGUGGUGAGCUCUCUGGUUGGAGAAAGGUUGCAGAAGCAUUCAUAUAAGCUCUGGCAUUGUUGGGAGACAUCUGUAGAAACAAUACCGUCAUGGCCCUGGGUGGCAAAGUCUGUUCCCAUAGGAGAAAGCAAGACAAGGAGGAGUCCCCUCCUGGGAUAGGGCCCCUAUUGGAGCCCAGAGAGAUGGUGGGCUGAGUCUUUCCCUCAACUGGCAGGUGGGGGCAGAAGCAGGUGGCUGUCAGCUUAUGUGGAUGGUUGGUGGCAUCAGCUGCCAUGGCUGCCAGUGGUGGAGGAAAACCCUCCCAGGUGGGGCUCAGACUGGGCUGGGCUGAUGUCUUUGCACAAAGACUGAAGGUGUGAUGAGGAAAAUCCUGCAGCUGAGGUUAUUAACUUGCAGAGUAUGGAUGCAGCCACACAGAGUGACGAACAGAUAGAGCAGGAUGGGGUGGGAGGUGGGCUAGAGGCACAGAGUGAUCUGGGAGCUGAUCUCUUUCAUGUGGGGUCUCUGUUUCCUACAUUCUCAGCAGUACAGUAUUUUGAUGUGGCAACUCUCUCCUUGCCCUUUCUGUCCUCUCCCGCUCCUGGUGCCCUGACUCCUCAGUGACCUGUCUAUGCCACCCCAGCCCUCCUGGGGCCUCCUGCCUUCCCACUUGGUCUCUUCCCUCCCUCUGCCAUGGGCAGACAGGCUCCCUGGGCAGGUGAGCUUAGCUCAAGUGAGAAAGGGCUUUUGUUGUGCUAGCAAUGACCAGUCCCCUGGUUGCUUGUCCAGGAGGGUCUGUACUUAGAGAGGUACCUGUGAUGCUUAGCCAUGCAAAGCGAAGGCAGGUGGUUAGGAAGGGCAGUAAGCACCCAGCAGUCUGGCCCUGCCUAAGAGUCUGUCUUGAACUUUGUGAAAGCAAACCUGGUCCCAGUCCUGAGCCUGGGUUUUCUAGAAGUCCCGGCUUUUCAUGGCAUCUUCCACUGCUGGGGCAGAAGCUGGACUAGACUAGGGAUCAAGAUGGGGGUGAUAUUGAUGCCACCAGCUGCUGAGUGCCCCAGGCAGCCAGGGACUGUGCUGAGUAUUCUAAUUCACAGUAUCUUUUAAGUUUCACAGAAACUCUAUGAAGAAGACACUCUUUUACUCCCCAUGUUAGAGAUGUGAGGCACAGAGAGGUGGGUAAUUUGGGCCCAUGGUGCUAAACUGUGGCAAAGCCAGGAUGCAAAUGCAGAGCAUUGGAUUCGGAAGCUGCCCUUUGGCCCAACGUUGUGCCAGGAAAGCCAAGGGGAGGCCUGCACAUUCAGGACACAGAAGUGGUGCCAUCGGGCAAGGGCUUCGCAGUGUGACCAGAGCUGAGCGAGGGAAACAAAGGAGGCUGAGGAAGAAGAGAAACCCAACACAGAGAACAGCAGGAUGCACACAGUGAGCAGAGGGCAUGGUUCACCGAAGUUGAUUAAAGUCAACCUGAAGGCCAAGCAGGAGGCUCAGGGAGCUGCUAGAGACCGAGGAGAUGGCCUGGACAAAGUCUGGGAGGGACGGAGUGGGAAAGGCGGGCAGGAGGAAGCUGUCUGCUCACCUAAGCAGAGGCCGGGGUAGCAGACAAGGCAGAGGGCAGAGGACAGGAGGGAGGGAACAAAGUGGCAAGUGGGAUGGCCUCAGGCCUCCUUAGGGAGAGGCAGUGGUUACAGGAGCUCAGCUAGCAAAGAACUCUCUGCCGUCCUUAUCCGAGCCAUCAUCUGGCAGUGUCACUGUGCACCUGACACCCACACAAGUAUUCUGAUUUUCCCAGCCUUUCAGGUCAGCUGCUGAUAGUUCCACUUGCUAGUAGGAGAUCAGGCCUGCACCAGUGAGGUGACAAAUUAGCAAAUUUCAGAGAGGGAAUUUAAAACCAGGACUCACCUGCUGCCUUAGUUAUAGUCUAACCUGCUGGGACAAAACACCAGGAAAAGGGAGUGAAAUUGGAUGGGGCUGGGGUCCCAGGCCAGGGAGUGCAGUGGUCCUGCUCCAUGGUGUCAGUUCGAGACCCAGACUGCCCCUGGUCACAUAGACUGUGACAGCUCAGGGUGCUGUCUCCACCCCUUCUCAAAGCUGUAUACUCACAAUGUCGCAGUCCUUGUGGGAAGACAGGCUCCAGGCAGAUGGCCCUGUUGUGAACAGGAUUGUCUCCGAUGAGAUCCUACUGCUCAGCUCAACUGCCCAGUGGUCCGUCACGUCACACAGCCAGCAGGGACACUGGGGAACCAUAGCAAGAGGUCUCGAGCCAGCUUCAGCUCAAGGCUGCCGUGUUAAAAGGAAGAGCCUUACAUCUGUUGCCAUGUGGCAUUUGAUACAGCUCUGUGUAUUUUCCCAGGGUGACCGGGGACCUGGCACAGGUGAGACAGAGCCUGGGUCUAUCUGGGUAAGGGACAGCAGGCUCCUUCACUGCUCCUGGAAGGUGGUGUUUCAUGACUCAGGGAGGUGAGGAGGGAAGCUGCAGACUGCACGGAGAAACGUUGUGGAAACCAUGUUGAUAGAAGAUGGUUGGAGGGAGACUCAUGUUCUCUAAAUAUUAACAAAAUCAGAAUUGCCAUGGAGAAAAAUGUAAGUACACAAAAUAAAGGACAAGAAAAGGAA
Long non-coding RNA from Fukomys damarensis (Damara mole-rat), 4452 nucleotides. RefSeq lists it as uncharacterized. Lineage: Eukaryota; Metazoa; Chordata; Mammalia; Rodentia; Bathyergidae. The record is from RefSeq and is a predicted model, not a curated record. The transcript has 4 exons.